This 20-nucleotide ribosomal RNA is filed under the name Bjerkandera adusta. RNAcentral's name for it is "partial 28S ribosomal RNA". The record is from RNAcentral. Lineage: Eukaryota; Fungi; Basidiomycota; Agaricomycetes; Polyporales; Phanerochaetaceae.
UGAGCUCAAAUCAGGUAGGA